Long non-coding RNA from Hippoglossus stenolepis (Pacific halibut), 586 nucleotides. RefSeq lists it as uncharacterized. The record is from RefSeq and is a predicted model, not a curated record. Lineage: Eukaryota; Metazoa; Chordata; Actinopteri; Pleuronectiformes; Pleuronectidae. The transcript has 3 exons.
AGGACACGGACAUCUUUCCGUCCUCACCUGCUCCCACGCAGCUCAAACUUCUCACUUCUCCUCGACUCCGCAAUCUUCAGCCGGUGCCUUGAACACCCACCUCCUCACGACGUGACACCAGGGCCUCAAUCGACCGGGAAGCAGGCUGAAAAUAGACGGCAUGAAUCAGAGCUCGGACGGUUUUAGCCCUGAUGUCGAGCCAAACUGUGGAAGCCCUGCGUCCAGGAGGUCGUCCUCCAAUUAAAAUAAACAGGAUGAAGAUCCCGAGUCGGAGGUUUGCGUGCCGUCGUUCUUCAGACGCUUCGACUUGAGUGGAUCCAAAUGUGUUUUGUGACAGAGGCCUGGGUCCACAGGGCUUAGACAGGAAGCUGGAUGUGGAGGCCCGAGAAUCCCACAGGGAAACUUCACAUGCAGCCGCUGACAUCACACACAACUCAGCUGUUCUGUGGAAGCAAAGUUAACCCCACAAAAACAAAGUGUUGAGAUGUCAACUGCAUCAACAUCAAGAACUUUUAGUUCAGCAAGAUCAUUGGUUUUAUCAAAACAUGAGUCUAAAAACUGCAAAAUAAAAGCUGCUGCUGCUACA